AAGGGUAUCGCUCAGUGGUAGAGUGCUUUACUUAACAUGCAAGAGUUCCUGGGUUCAAUCCCCAGUACCUUUG
This 73-nucleotide transfer RNA is filed under the name Camelus ferus (Wild Bactrian camel). It matches the Rfam family "tRNA". From Rfam's summary of the family: Transfer RNA (tRNA) molecules are approximately 80 nucleotides in length. Their secondary structure includes four short double-helical elements and three loops (D, anti-codon, and T loops). The record is from Rfam by way of RNAcentral. Lineage: Eukaryota; Metazoa; Chordata; Mammalia; Artiodactyla; Camelidae.